AGAUUUUCUAGCAGUGAAUCUGAAUAUGUUUAAUCUUGAAGCAUUUUCAACUGGUCCUCAUCAGUUGUAUUUGAAUUUCAUACCCUUUAAAGCAACUCCUAAUAUGACCCCCCAGGAUCUGGUCUUGAUCAACUUUUCUAGCUUUAUUUUCUGACCCAUUCUCUCCUAAAUAAUCCACUGAAAAAUUUUCUCUACUUUGACAUACUCUUUUAAGCUUCUUCACCUCUACAUAUUCUAUUUCUUCUACUCAAGAAUCACUUUUUCCUGCCAUACUUGUCCUUGAUGAACGAAUAUUUAAUUUUCAUUUGAAAAAGUAACCUUCUCUGAGACAUUUUACAGCUCUUCAAGGGAAGGUUGGUUUUAUCUCCCUCUGAGUUUUCUCAUACUUUGGGCUAGUUUCCCAGUAGGACGGAAAUGUUCCCUGCAGGGCUGGGAGCUUGCCCUCCAGAAUUACCUCUAAGUGAAACCCCCACCUCCCUUUCAUUUUCAAAGGACUGCUGAAGUUACAUACAAUGGCAACAAAGCAACAUGUAGCAGAAGUCAUUUUCUUGUCGCUUUUUUCAGAAUGAGGAAUAUCUCAUGUAUAUAUUUGUUGUUUGAUUUUCUUGUUUUUCAGAAGCUCUUCAACACAGCUACCUUUUAUGUUAUAUGUUCACCCUGAAACCAAUUACUGUACUACUUCCUGUCACCAUGUGAAGAAGGAUGUGUUUGCUUCACCUUCUGCCAUAAUUGUAAUUUUCCUGAGGCCUCCCCAACCUUGCAGAACUAAUGAAGAAUAGUUCUUCUGCUGUGAGGAUCCACUGGGUUGCCACUGACCCAUUGCCUGAGGGUACGCAAUGAAACCGGAAUCAGUGACUGUAGAUGGCAGCUCAGACGGGGAAACGACACGUCUAAUAACCAACAGGAAUGGAUAUUAAUUAGGUGGAAUGACAAUAAUUAACAGAAAUGACAAGUCUAAUAAAUUUUCACUUAAGUGUUGUCAUAUGGCACUUUGAGUUUUUAGCUUUCCAUUUUAAAUAUUAAUCUCGGUAGCAUUUGCUUUACAUGAA
This 1049-nucleotide long non-coding RNA is filed under the name Callithrix jacchus (white-tufted-ear marmoset). Its description in RNAcentral is "lncRNA (ENSCJAG00000086599.1)". Lineage: Eukaryota; Metazoa; Chordata; Mammalia; Primates; Cebidae. The record is from RNAcentral.